AUCGCUUCUCGGCCUUUUGGCUAAGAUCAAAGUGUAGUAUCUGUUCUUAAUACGCUUGGGUUUUUGCUAGAAAUUUUGAGUACUAGUU
RNAcentral lists this small nuclear RNA (88 nucleotides) under Lottia gigantea (owl limpet). RNAcentral's name for it is "U2 spliceosomal RNA". It matches the Rfam family "U2 spliceosomal RNA", at positions 1 to 115 of the family's 192-position model. From Rfam's summary of the family: U2 is a small nuclear RNA (snRNA) component of the spliceosome (involved in pre-mRNA splicing). The record is from RNAcentral. Lineage: Eukaryota; Metazoa; Mollusca; Gastropoda; Lottiidae.